CAGUAGCCACGGGAAUACGUAGGUGGCAAGCGUUGUCCGGAAUUAUUGGGCGUAAAGGGCUCGCAGGCGGUUUCUUAAGUCUGAUGUGAAAGCCCCCGGCUCAACCGGGGAGGGUCAUUGGAAACUGGGAAACUUGAGUGCAGAAGAGGAGAGUGGAAUUCCACGUGUAGCGGUGAAAUGCGUAGAGAUGUGGAGGAACACCAGUGGCGAAGGCGACUCUCUGGUCUGUAACUGACGCUGAGGAGCGAAAGCGUGGGGAGCGAACAGGAUUAGAUACCCCAGUAGUCCCUGUCUCUUAUAC
This 301-nucleotide ribosomal RNA is filed under the name uncultured bacterium. RNAcentral describes it as "partial 16S ribosomal RNA". It matches the Rfam family "Bacterial small subunit ribosomal RNA", at positions 509 to 807 of the family's 1533-position model. The record is from RNAcentral.